ACGAUGCGUAGGGGUUCUGAGAGGAAGGUCCCCCACACUGGUACUGAGACACGGACCAGACUCCUACGGGAGGCAGCAGUGAGGAAUAUUGGUCAAUGGGAGAGAUCCUGAACCAGCCAAGCCGCGUGAGGGAAGACGGCCCUAUGGGUUGUAAACCUCUUUUGUCGGAGAACAAAACCCGGGACGAGUCCCGGACUGCGUGUAUCCGAAGAAAAAGCAUCGGCUAACUCCGUGCCAGCAGCCGCGGUAAUACGGAGGAUGCGAGCGUUGUCCGGAUUUAUUGGGUUUAAAGGGUGCGUAGGCGGUCUGUUAAGUCAGCGGUAAAAUUGCGGGGCUCAACCCCGUCGAGCCGUUGAAACUGGCAGACUUGAGUUGGCGAGAAGUACGCGGAAUGCGCGGUGUAGCGGUGAAAUGCAUAGAUAUCGCGCAGAACUCCGAUUGCGAAGGCAGCGUACCGGCGCCAGACUGACGCUGAGGCACGAAAGCGUGGGGAUCGAACAGGAUUAGAUACCCUGGUAGUCCACGCAGUAAACGAUGAAUGCUGGUUGUCCGGGUCGAAUGAGACCUGG
Molecule: ribosomal RNA, 569 nt
Filed under: uncultured bacterium
Lineage: Bacteria
Description: bacterial SSU rRNA
Rfam family: Bacterial small subunit ribosomal RNA
Source: RNAcentral